ACGCUCGACACCUACGGGGGCAGCAGUGGGGAAUAUUGCACAAUGGGGGAAACCCUGAUGCAGCGACGCCGCGUGAGCGAAGAAGUAUUUCGGUAUGUAAAGCUCUAUCAGCAGGGAAGAAACUGACGGUACCUGACUAAGAAGCACCGGCUAAAUACGUGCCAGCAGCCGUGGUAAUCUGAGCGGGCUGGCAAGGC
This 197-nucleotide ribosomal RNA is filed under the name uncultured bacterium. RNAcentral describes it as "partial 16S ribosomal RNA". It matches the Rfam family "Bacterial small subunit ribosomal RNA", at positions 328 to 539 of the family's 1533-position model. The record is from RNAcentral.